Ailuropoda melanoleuca (giant panda) is the source of this 91-nucleotide non-coding RNA. NCBI's taxonomy places the organism in Eukaryota, Metazoa, Chordata, Mammalia, Carnivora, Ursidae. The record is from Rfam.
GCCCAGGUGGUUCAGUUGGUUAAACAGCUGACUCUUGAUUUCAGCUCAGGUCCUGAUCUCAGGGCUGUGGGAUCAAGCCCCACAUUGGGCU